CGACCGCGACCCCAGGUCAGGCGGGACUACCCGCUGAGUG
Molecule: ribosomal RNA, 40 nt
Filed under: Veronica miqueliana
Lineage: Eukaryota; Viridiplantae; Streptophyta; Magnoliopsida; Lamiales; Plantaginaceae
Description: partial 26S ribosomal RNA
Source: RNAcentral